This is a long non-coding RNA of Pipistrellus kuhlii (Kuhl's pipistrelle), 343 nucleotides long. RefSeq lists it as uncharacterized. The transcript has 3 exons. NCBI's taxonomy places the organism in Eukaryota, Metazoa, Chordata, Mammalia, Chiroptera, Vespertilionidae. The record is from RefSeq and is a predicted model, not a curated record.
ACAACUGUCUCAUAAGAACUUUUUUUUAUUAUUUAGAAAUGCAGUUAUAUACAUAGAAUUAAAAUUAAAUUAAACUUUGUACAAAUAUUAAAAUACUAUCUUCACACCCACUGCAAUGUACAGGAUACCAAAAAAUAUAUAUAAAAUAAAGCAAACCCAAACUGAUUGACAUCCUGCACAGUCUAUGAUGCAAGUGUUGUUUUAAACCAUUACGAGUACCAUUCUGCAAGGUUCCAUAGUGGUGUGAAAAGCCAGGGCAGUGUGUGGCAGGCAGCCACACAACCCGCAUCCCUCUCUCCUUCCUGCCGGGCAAUCCAAGUGCUCUGCCCCUGCACUCUCUCCA